UAUCAGUUGGACUGGCAAAAGUUUUAGC
RNAcentral lists this non-coding RNA (28 nucleotides) under Bombyx mori (domestic silkworm). Lineage: Eukaryota; Metazoa; Arthropoda; Insecta; Lepidoptera; Bombycidae. The record is from RNAcentral.